GGAAGAGUGGCCGAGUGGUUUAAGGCUGCGGUUUUGAAAACCGCCGUACUCGAAAGGGUACCAGGGGUUCGAAUCCCUUCUCUUCCU
This 87-nucleotide transfer RNA is filed under the name Myxococcales bacterium. RNAcentral's name for it is "tRNA-Ser". It matches the Rfam family "tRNA". Rfam says of the family: Transfer RNA (tRNA) molecules are approximately 80 nucleotides in length. Their secondary structure includes four short double-helical elements and three loops (D, anti-codon, and T loops). Further hydrogen bonds mediate the characteristic L-shaped molecular structure. tRNAs have two regions of fundamental functional importance: the anti-codon, which is responsible for specific mRNA codon recognition, and the 3' end, to which the tRNAs corresponding amino acid is attached (by aminoacyl-tRNA synthetases). tRNAs cope with the degeneracy of the genetic code in two manners: having more than one tRNA (with a specific anti-codon) for a particular amino acid; and 'wobble' base-pairing, i.e. permitting non-standard base-pairing at the 3rd anti-codon position. Lineage: Bacteria; Pseudomonadati; Myxococcota; Myxococcia; Myxococcales. The record is from RNAcentral.